Molecule: ribosomal RNA, 497 nt
Filed under: uncultured bacterium
Lineage: Bacteria
Description: partial 16S ribosomal RNA
Rfam family: Bacterial small subunit ribosomal RNA
Source: RNAcentral
GAUGAACGCUGGCGGCGUGCCUAAUACAUGCAAGUCGAGCGAACAGACGAGGAUCUUGCUCCUCUGCCGUUAGCGGCGGACGGGUGAGUAACACGUGGAUAACCUACAUAUAAGACUGGGAUAACUUCGGGAAAGCUGAUCUAAUACCGGAUAAUAUGUUGAACCGCAGGGUUCAAUAGUGAAAGACGGUUUUGCUGUCACUUAUAGAUGGAUCCGCGCCGCAUUAGCUAGUUGGUAAGGUAACGGCUUACCAAGGCAACGAUGCGUAGCCGACCUGAGAGGGUGAUCGGCCACACUGGAACUGAGACACGGUCCAGACGCCUACGGGAGGCAGCAGUAGGGAAUCUUCGGCAAUGGGCGAAAGCCUGACGGAGCAACGCCGCGUGAGUGAUGAAGGUCUUCGGAUCGUAAAACUCUGUUAUUAGGGAAGAACAAAUGUGUAAGUAACCAUGCCCGUCUUGACGGUACCUACUCAGAAAGCCACGGCUAACUACGUG